GGACCCGCACAAGUAGUGGAGCAUGUGGUUUAAUUCGAAGAUACGCGCAGAACCUUACCAACACUUGACAUGUUCGUCGCGACUCUAAGAGAUUAGAGUUUUCGGUUCGGCCGGACGAAACACAGGUGCUGCAUGGCUGUCGUCAGCUCGUGUCGUGAGAUGUUGGGUUAAGUCCCGCAACGAGCGCAACCCUCACUUUUAGUUGCCAUCAUUAAGUUGGGCACUCUGAAAGAACUGCCAGUGAUAAGCUGGAGGAAGGUGGGGAUGACGUCAAGUCCUCAUGGCCCUUACGUGUUGGGCUACACACGUGCUACAAUGGCAAGUACAACGAGUCGCAAUACCGCGAGGUGGAGCAAAUCUCUUAAAGCUUGUCUCAGUUCGGAUAGGAGUCUGCAACUCGACUCCUUGAAGUUGGAGUC
This 419-nucleotide ribosomal RNA is filed under the name uncultured bacterium. RNAcentral's name for it is "bacterial SSU rRNA". It matches the Rfam family "Bacterial small subunit ribosomal RNA", at positions 917 to 1333 of the family's 1533-position model. The record is from RNAcentral.